RNAcentral lists this ribosomal RNA (305 nucleotides) under uncultured bacterium. RNAcentral's name for it is "partial 16S ribosomal RNA". It matches the Rfam family "Bacterial small subunit ribosomal RNA", at positions 508 to 807 of the family's 1533-position model. The record is from RNAcentral.
ACAGCAGUAGCCGCGGUAACACGGAGGGGGCUAGCGUUGUUCGGAAUUACUGGGCGUAAAGCGCACGUAGGCGGCUUGGUAAGUUAGAGGUGAAAGCCUGGAGCUCAACUCCAGAAUUGCCUUUAAGACUGCCGAGCUAGCAGGUGAGAGAGGUAAGUGGAAUUCCGAGUGUAGAGGUGAAAUUCGUAGAUAUUCGGAAGAACACCAGUGGCGAAGGCGGCUUACUGGCUCAUACUGGACGCUGAGGCACGAAAGCUAGGGGAGCAAACAGGAUUAGAUACCCCCGUAGUCCCUGUCUCUUAUAC